This 460-nucleotide ribosomal RNA is filed under the name uncultured bacterium. RNAcentral's name for it is "partial 16S ribosomal RNA". It matches the Rfam family "Bacterial small subunit ribosomal RNA", at positions 338 to 795 of the family's 1533-position model. The record is from RNAcentral.
CCUACGGGUGGCAGCAGUGAGGAAUAUUGGUCAAUGGACGAGAGUCUGAACCAGCCAAGUAGCGUGAAGGAUGACUGCCCUAUGGGUUGUAAACUUCUUUUAUAAAGGAAUAAAACGAGGCACGUGUGCCUUUUUGCAUGUACUUUAUGAAUAAGGAUCGGCUAACUCCGUGCCAGCAGCCGCGGUAAUACGGAGGAUCCGAGCGUUAUCCGGAUUUAUUGGGUUUAAAGGGAGCGUAGAUGGGUUGUUAAGUCAGUUGUGAAAGUUUGCGGCUCAACCGUAAAAUUGCAAGUGAUACUGGCAGUCGUGAGUACAGUUGAGGUAGGCGGAAUUCGUGGUGUAGCGGUGAAAUGCUUAGAUAUCACGAAGAACCCCGAUUGCGAAGGCAGCUUACUAAACUGCCACUGACAUUGAUGCUCGAAAGUGUGGGUAUCAAACAGGAUUAGAUACCCUUGUAGUC